Non-coding RNA from Rattus norvegicus (Norway rat), 69 nucleotides. NCBI's taxonomy places the organism in Eukaryota, Metazoa, Chordata, Mammalia, Rodentia, Muridae. The record is from Rfam.
GGGGAUUUAGCUCAAAGGUAGAGCGCUUGCCUAGCAAGCGCAAGGUCCUGGGUUCGGUCCCCAGCUCCG